This 1439-nucleotide ribosomal RNA is filed under the name uncultured organism. RNAcentral describes it as "SSU rRNA". It matches the Rfam family "Bacterial small subunit ribosomal RNA". The record is from RNAcentral.
CAGGAUGAACGCUAGCUACAGGCUUAACACAUGCAAGUCGAGGGGCAUCAGGAAGAAAGCUUGCUUUCUUUGCUGGCGACCGGCGCACGGGUGAGUAACACGUAUCCAACCUGCCCUUUACUCGGGGAUAGCCUUUCGAAAGAAAGAUUAAUACCCGAUAGCAUAAUGAUUCCGCAUGGUUUCAUUAUUAAAGGAUUCCGGUAAAGGAUGGGGAUGCGUUCCAUUAGGUUGUUGGUGAGGUAACGGCCCACCAAGCCUUCGAUGGAUAGGGGUUCUGAGAGGAAGGUCCCCCACAUUGGAACUGAGACACGGUCCAAACUCCUACGGGAGGCAGCAGUGAGGAAUAUUGGUCAAUGGGCGCUAGCCUGAACCAGCCAAGUAGCGUGAAGGAUGAAGGCUCUAUGGGUCGUAAACUUCUUUUAUAUAAGAAUAAAGUGCAGUAUGUAUACUGUUUUGUAUGUAUUAUAUGAAUAAGGAUCGGCUAACUCCGUGCCAGCAGCCGCGGUAAUACGGAGGAUCCGAGCGUUAUCCGGAUUUAUUGGGUUUAAAGGGAGCGUAGGUGGACUGGUAAGUCAGUUGUGAAAGUUUGCGGCUCAACCGUAAAAUUGCAGUUGAUACUGUCAGUCUUGAGUACAGUAGAGGUGGGCGGAAUUCGUGGUGUAGCGGUGAAAUGCUUAGAUAUCACGAAGAACUCCGAUUGCGAAGGCAGCUCACUGGACUGCAACUGACACUGAUGCUCGAAAGUGUGGGUAUCAAACAGGAUUAGAUACCCUGGUAGUCCACACAGUAAACGAUGAAUACUCGCUGUUUGCGAUAUACAGUAAGCGGCCAAGCGAAAGCAUUAAGUAUUCCACCUGGGGAGUACGCCGGCAACGGUGAAACUCAAAGGAAUUGACGGGGGCCCGCACAAGCGGAGGAACAUGUGGUUUAAUUCGAUGAUACGCGAGGAACCUUACCCGGGCUUAAAUUGCAGUGGAAUGAUGUGGAAACAUGUCAGUGAGCAAUCACCGCUGUGAAGGUGCUGCAUGGUUGUCGUCAGCUCGUGCCGUGAGGUGUCGGCUUAAGUGCCAUAACGAGCGCAACCCUUAUCUUUAGUUACUAACAGGUUAUGCUGAGGACUCUAGAGAGACUGCCGUCGUAAGAUGUGAGGAAGGUGGGGAUGACGUCAAAUCAGCACGGCCCUUACGUCCGGGGCUACACACGUGUUACAAUGGGGGGUACAGAAGGCAGCUAGCGGGUGACCGUAUGCUAAUCCCAAAAUCCUCUCUCAGUUCGGAUCGAAGUCUGCAACCCGACUUCGUGAAGCUGGAUUCGCUAGUAAUCGCGCAUCAGCCACGGCGCGGUGAAUACGUUCCCGGGCCUUGUACACACCGCCCGUCAAGCCAUGGGAGCCGGGGGUACCUGAAGUACGUAACCGCAAGGAUCGUCCUAGGGUAAAA